This 231-nucleotide ribosomal RNA is filed under the name Salmonella enterica subsp. enterica serovar Cerro. Its description in RNAcentral is "partial 23S ribosomal RNA". It matches the Rfam family "Bacterial large subunit ribosomal RNA", at positions 12 to 242 of the family's 2925-position model. The record is from RNAcentral. Lineage: Bacteria; Pseudomonadati; Pseudomonadota; Gammaproteobacteria; Enterobacterales; Enterobacteriaceae.
CUAAGCGUACACGGUGGAUGCCCUGGCAGUCAGAGGCGAUGAAGGACGUGCUAAUCUGCGAUAAGCGCCGGUAAGGUGAUAUGAACCGUUAUAACCGGCGAUUUCCGAAUGGGGAAACCCAGUGUGACUCGUCACACUAUCAUUAACUGAAUCCAUAGGUUAAUGAGGCGAACCGGGGGAACUGAAACAUUUAAGACCCCCGUGGAAAGGAAAUCAACCGAGAUUCCCCCA